This is a long non-coding RNA of Equus caballus (horse), 1941 nucleotides long. The record is from Ensembl. Lineage: Eukaryota; Metazoa; Chordata; Mammalia; Perissodactyla; Equidae.
UAUAUUUUUAGAGAAAACUCACCACUUAAAUGUUCAGAUAGUUUUCUACAUGUAUGAUGAUGAAGACAGUUCCUCAAUUUCAAGGAUUCUGUCUGUUAACAUUCAGUCAGGUUGAAAUGGAUCUGAAAAUCAUGACAUAUGAAGAGCAGCUGAGGGAAUUGAAGAACAGAAAUCAUAGCAGCUGGGAGAGGAUGAGUAACUGGCCUCAAUUAUCUUCAGGGUUGCCAUGAGAAAGAAAGAAGGGGUAGAAAUACUCUGAGCAGCUCAUCAGGACAGAACUAGGACCAGUGAGCAAAAUUAAGGCAGGGGAGAGGGCACUAUGCAGGCUUCAGCAACCUAAGAAAGAACUUUCUAACGUUCUAAAGAGACACGCCCAACAGUGGGACAGCUUGCUUUAACAGAUAACGAUCCACUGUCACUGGCAGUGUGUAGGCAGAGUUGUUGUGAACAUUUGUCAAGGGUGACUGCGGAGGGAGCACCAACACAGAGCAAGAGAUUGAGGCUAUUCCAUCCCUUCCAACCUGAAAAGCAUUAUUCAAUAAGCCCGAAAGUCAUUCUACAAAUUCGGUGUUAAUACUAAGUAGAUAAUUAAUAAACAAAGAUUUGCAAUACCUCAAGGUCUUCAAUGAGCACAGAACAGGUAAAUGAAACAUCAUGGUCAGUAUGUUCUUUGAACGUUUUAUCAACAGAUGCAGACUUGACACUGGUUACUACCCAAGGAAAAUUUAGGUUGUCUCAGUGUGUAAAAUAAUACCAUACCUCAACAGAGAUCUUGAAUGCUCUCAGGUGUUUCAAAGGCUCCAGGAUUUGUUCUUUUUCUACAUCCCCAGUCACUGUCCCCGUGUCACCUGCUGUCAUCUCAAGCCUAGCUUAUCUUCUACAGCUGCCUCCUACUGAGACCUCUAUCUCUAAUCUCUUUUCCUGUAACCAUCUUGAACACUGCAACUAGAUGUCUCCCUAAAACCCAUUUGAACAAGUUACUACCUAUUCAGAAGCCUAGAAUGAUUCCUCAAUUCAGAAACACGUAGGGAAAGGAUAAGAGGCAUAACAAUACAGUUAUUAAAAUGGUAGAAUUAUAGACUAGUAUCUUUUUUUAAGUUCUUGGUGUGGUACUAAAGUUCUAAUGAUAAAUAAAAUCAGUGCAAAACAAAGACUCUACAAAGUUUCCUUCCGACCUAACGCAUUGCAUCCAAAAGCUCCAACUUCACUUUUUAAAGACCCUUCAGCAAGUCUCCCAACUCACCUUUCCUCCUACUACCCCUGCAAUAGAGCUGCGUUGUUUCUCUCGUCUAACUCUCUACUGUCUUCUUUCCUUCCUCCUUGUCUCUCGUUGCUGCUUCUCUCUCAUGUGCCUUUUUCCGCAUGUUUGCUCUUCCUCACCUGCAGGACAGUUGCUGCAUCUCAUCUGUGUGCUCACUGCGCCAUAUGUAGGUAAGCCUCCCGAGGGCAGGGCCUUUGUUCAUAAUUGCAUCCCUUGCAUCUAGAAUAGCGCCUUGCAGAUAAGGAACUAUCUAUUAAGGAACUAUCAGUUGAAUGAGUGAUUGUCAUUUCUGUGACUAUAUGAAUCCACAACACUCCUUUUUGAAAUUUGAUAUAAGUUGGUUAUAUAAUAUGUGUGGGUUUAUAUUGUAUAACAUCUUUUUUCUAGUUCUUUACAUGUUUUAGUGUAGGUCUCUCAAAAUGAAGAGACAGAUGUCAUCCAUGUUACCUAAUUCAAUACUCCAAUUCAGCAAAUUUGUACUGAAUACCUACUGUGUGUUAGGCACUUUAGUAGGCUGUACGAUAGAAAUUAAAAACUGCAUUUAACAAGGGUCAGUAAACACCAAAUGGAAUAUUUCUUAGCUAAUUUCUUUUACACAAAAUAAAUACACCAGAAAUCUAUAGUCUAAAUCAAAACAGUAGUCCAAUUUUCUAUACUUUUCUACCAUCUUUCUAUCAAAC